CKMMGGSCGKUCWAYMAUGCAAGUCGAGMGGASUUGMYAGGAGAGCUUGCUCUCCUGAUGGUUAGCGGCGGACGGGUGAGUAACACGUAGGCAACCUGCCUGCAAGACCGGGAUWACCCACGGAAACRUGAGCUAAUACCGGAUAUCUCAUUUYCUCUCCUGRGGGRAUGAUGAAAGACGGAGCAAUCUGUCACUUGCGGAUGGGCCUGCGGCGCAUUAGCUAGUUGGUGAGGUAACGGCUCACCAAGGCGACGAUGCGUAGCCGACCUGAGAGGGUGAACGGCCACACUGGGACUGAGACACGGCCCAGACUCCUACGGGAGGCAGCAGUAGGGAAUCUUCCGCAAUGGGCGAAAGCCUGACGGAGCAACGCCGCGUGAGUGAUGAAGGUUUUCGGAUCGUAAAGCUCUGUUGCCAGGGAAGAACGUCCGRUAGAGUAACUGCUAUCGGAGUGACGGUACCUGAGAAGAAAGCCCCGGCUAACUACGUGCCAGCAGCCGCGGUAAUACGUAGGGGGCAAGCGUUGUCCGGAAUUAUUGGGCGUAAAGCGCGCGCAGGCGGUCAUUUAAGUCUGGUGUUUAAGGCCAAGGCUCAACCUUGGUUCGCACUGGAAACUGGGUGACUUGAGUGCAGAAGGAGGAGAGUGGAAUUCCACGUGUAGCGGUGAAAUGCGUAGAUAUGUGGAGGAACACCAGUGGCGAARGCGACUCUCUGGGCUGUAACUGACCUGAGGCGCGAAAGCGUGGGGGAGCAAACAGGAUUAAAUACCCUGGURUCCACGCCGUAACAAUGAAUGCUAGGUGUUAKGGGUUUUCGAUACCYCUKGGUGGCCGRAAGUUAAACACAUUUWAGCAUUCCGCSCUGGGGRAGUACCGGUCSCCAGAAMUGAAAMCUCAAAAGGAAAUUGAACGGGGAACSCGCMMCWAGCCAGUKGGARUAAUGUGGUUUAAAUUYCGAAAACCAACCSCCGAARRAAACCGUUACCCAGGUCUKUGARACAUCYCYUYUKAARCCGGCUMUMRGAGAUGRUU
Molecule: ribosomal RNA, 1031 nt
Filed under: Paenibacillus cineris
Lineage: Bacteria; Bacillati; Bacillota; Bacilli; Caryophanales; Paenibacillaceae
Description: partial 16S ribosomal RNA
Rfam family: Bacterial small subunit ribosomal RNA
Source: RNAcentral